AGUGAACGCUGGCGGCAGGCCUAACACAUGCAAGUCGAACGGCAGCACAGUAAGAGCUUGCUCUUACGGGUGGCGAGUGGCGGACGGGUGAGGAAUACAUCGUAAUCUACUUUUUCGUGGGGGAUAACGUAGGGAAACUUACGCUAAUACCGCAUACGACCUACGGGUGAAAGCAGUGGAGCUUCGGACCUUUCGCGAUUGAAUGAGCCGAUGUCGGAUUAGCUAGUUGGGAGGGUAAAGUCCCACCAAGGCGACGAUCCGUAGCUGGUCUGAGAGGAUGGUCAGCCACACUGGAACUGAGACACGGUCCAGACUCCUACGGGAGGCAGCAGUGGGGAAUAUUGGACAAUGGGCGCAAGCCUGAUCCAGCCAUACCGCGUGGGUGAAGAAGGCCUUCGGGUUGUAAAGCCCUUUUGUUGGGAAAGAAAAGCAGCAGGUUAAUACCCCGCUGUUCUGACGGUACCCAAAGAAUAAGCACCGGCUAACUUCGUG
This 492-nucleotide ribosomal RNA is filed under the name uncultured bacterium. RNAcentral describes it as "partial 16S ribosomal RNA". It matches the Rfam family "Bacterial small subunit ribosomal RNA", at positions 29 to 507 of the family's 1533-position model. The record is from RNAcentral.